UGGGGAAUCUUGGACAAUGGGGGCAACCCUGAUCCAGCCAUGCCGCGUGAGUGAUGAAGGCCUUAGGGUCGUAAAGCUCUUUCGCCUGUGAAGAUAAUGACGGUAGCAGGUAAAGAAACCCCGGCUAACUCCGUGCCAGCAGCCGCGGUAAUACGGAGGGGGUUAGCGUUGUUCGGAAUUACUGGGCGUAAAGCGCACGUAGGCGGACCAGAAAGUUGGGGGGUGAAAUCCCGGGGGCUCAACCCCGGAACUGCCUCCAAAACUAUUGGUCUAGAGUUCGAGAGAGGUGAGUGGAAUUCCAAGUGUAGAGGUGAAAUUCGUAGAUAUUUGGAGGAACACCAGUGGCGAAGGCGGCUCACUGGCUCGAUACUGACGCUGAGGUGCGAAAGUGUGGGGAGCAAAACAGGAUUAGAUACCCCUGGUAGUCCCACACCGUAAAACGAUGAAUGCCCAGUCGUCGGGGUAGCAUGCUAUUCGGUGACACACCUAACGGAUUAAGCAUUCCGCCUGGGGAGUAC
This 518-nucleotide ribosomal RNA is filed under the name uncultured bacterium. Its description in RNAcentral is "bacterial SSU rRNA". It matches the Rfam family "Bacterial small subunit ribosomal RNA", at positions 355 to 883 of the family's 1533-position model. The record is from RNAcentral.